UUUUAAUAGCUUAUAAAGAGUAUAAUACUGAAGAUAUUAAGGAAAAAUUUUUUUUAAAAUAU
RNAcentral lists this transfer RNA (62 nucleotides) under Plateros sp. UPOL A00632. RNAcentral's name for it is "tRNA-Phe". The record is from RNAcentral. Lineage: Eukaryota; Metazoa; Arthropoda; Insecta; Coleoptera; Lycidae.